CCAUGGAGCUGGAAUUGCUAGUAAUGGCAGGUCAGCAUACUGCCGUGAAUACGUUCCCGGGCCUUGUACACACCGCCCGUCACACCAUGAGAGUUGGAAAUACCCGAAGCCUGUGAGCUAACAGUAAUGAGGCAGCAGUCGAAGGUAGAGCCAAUGAUUGGGGUGAAGUCGUAACAAGGUAUC
Molecule: ribosomal RNA, 183 nt
Filed under: uncultured bacterium
Lineage: Bacteria
Description: partial 16S ribosomal RNA
Rfam family: Bacterial small subunit ribosomal RNA
Source: RNAcentral